Molecule: ribosomal RNA, 433 nt
Filed under: uncultured bacterium
Lineage: Bacteria
Description: partial 16S ribosomal RNA
Rfam family: Bacterial small subunit ribosomal RNA
Source: RNAcentral
AACGAACGCUGGCGGCAUGCCUAACACAUGCAAGUCGAACGAGACCUUCGGGUCUAGUGGCGCACGGGUGCGUAACGCGUGGGAACCUGCCCUUAGGUUCGGAAUAACUCCCCGAAAGGGGUGCUAAUACCGGAUAAUGUCUUCGGACCAAAGCUUUAUCGCCUUUGGAUGGGCCCGCGUUGGAUUAGCUAGUUGGUAGGGUAAAAGCCUACCAAGGCGAGGAUCCAUAGCUGGUCUGAGAGGAUGAUCAGCCACACUGGGACUGAGACACGGCCCAGACUCCUGCGGGAGGCAGCAGUGGGGAAUAUUGGACAAGGGGCGAAAGCCUGAUCCAGCAAUGCCGCGUGAGUGAUGAAGGCCUUAGGGUUGGAAAGCUCUUUUACCCGGGAUGAUAAUGACAGUACCGGGAGAAUAAGCUCCGGCUAACUCCGUG